GUGGCUAGAAAUUGAUGGAAAUAGUGGGAAAAAACACACAAACUGGACUGUAACAAGACCUAACCAGUAACAAGACCUCGACCAGGACACAAACUCAACACUACGGACUCUGAAACUGAAAUAUGCAAAGGCUAUGGCGCGGAUGGAUUGUAGGACAUGAAAACAAUAUGGCGCUAGACUUAUGCGACGAACACAGGGACACUUGAAACUAAGGGUAGAUGUGAACCUAACGGCAUGUCUAAAGCAUUGAUUACCACUUGAGGAGAACAAGUGUGGCCCGAUCUUCCGAAACUUUCUGGUAACUAUCGAUUUGGUGGAAACGAGAGACAUAUCAAUCCAGCUUGCGAACAACACAAUUCGAAACCCUGCAAUUCUUUUUAUUUUUUUUGAUAUUUUUCUUUUACUAAGGAGCACUCAAGAAGUAACCACAGGAAAUUUGAGCUUAAACAAGUGAAAGACGUGGCCUGUGGAAUUUUUUGAAGAUUGUGAAAAAUAUGAAAAAAAUUUAGGAGGUGAAAAUUCAAACUUCAGAGGCGAAUUUGGGGAUUCUAAAAUUGUCGAACCCGCCGUUGGCGGGAUAGACAGAUCCAAAAAAAUUUUCUGAUCGAUUUUGAUAUAUGGAAUGUCAAAAUUGAAGUUCGUAUGCGAAAGUUAUGGCUGUUUUACGAACGGACUCCGAAUUAGAGGACAAAACGGUCCGGAAGUGGGAAAAAUUUGCGAUGGUGGCUAAAAAUUGAUGGAAAUAGUGGGAAAAAAUAGACAAACUCGACAGUAACAAGACCUAACCAGUAACAAGACCUCGACCAGGACACAAACUCAACACUACGGACUCUGAAACUGAAAUAUGCAAAGGCUAUGGCGCGGAUGGGUUGUAGGACAUGAAAACAAUAUGGCACUAGACUUAUGCGACGAACACAAGGACACUUGAAACUAAGGGUAGAUGUGAACCUAACGGCAUGUCUGAAGCAUUGAUUACCACUUGAGGAGAACAAGUGUGGCCCGAUCUUCCGAAAGUUUUUGGUAACUAUCGAUUUGGUGGAAACGAGAGACAUAUCAAUCCAGUUUGCGAACAACACAAUUCGAAACCCUACAAUUCUUUUUUUUGAUAUUUUUCUUUUACUUAGGAGCACUCAAGAAGUAACCACAGGAAAUUUGAGCUUAAACAAGUGAAAGACGUGGCCUGUUGAAUUUUUUGAAGAUUGUGAAAAAUAUGAAAAAAAUUUAGGAGGUGAAAACUCAAACUUCAGAGGCGAAUUUGGGGAUUCUAAAAUUGUCGAACCCGCCGUUGGCGGGAUAGACAGAUCCAAAAAAAUUUUCUAAUCGAUUUUGAUAUAUGGAACGUCAAAAUUGGAGUACGUAUGCGAAAGUUAUGGCUGUUUUACGAACCGACUCCGAAUUAGAGGACAAAACGGUCCGGAAGUGGGAAAAAUUGGCGAUGGUGGCUAUACAUGGACUUACUUUGUCCUAAAAGACAGACUAACUCGACUGUAACACGACCUAACCAGUAACACGACCUCGAGCAGGACACAAACUCAACACUACGGACUCUGAAACUGAUAUAUACGAAGGCUAUGGCGCGGAUGGGUUGUAGGACAUGAAAACAAUAUGGCACUAGACUUAUGCGACGAACACAAGGACACUUGAAACUAAGGGUAUAUGUGACCCUAACGGUAUGUCUGAAGCAUUGAUUACCACUUGAGAAGAACGUGUGUGGCCCGAUCUUCCGAAAGUUUCUGGUAACUAUCGAUGUGGUGGAAACGAGAGACAUAUCAAUCCAGUUUGCGAACAACACAAUUCGAAACCCUACAAUUCUUUUUUUUGAUAUUUUUGUUUUACUUAGGAGAACUCAAGAAGUAACCACAGGAAAUUUGAGCUUAAACAAGUGAAUUACGUGGCCUGUGGAAUUUUAUGAAGAUUGUGAAAAAUAUGAAAAAAACUUUAGGAGGUGAAAACUCAAACUUCAGAGGCGAAUUUGGGGAUCCUAUAAUUGUCGAACCCGCCGUUGGGGGGAUAGACAGAUCCAAAAAAUUAUUCCGAUCGAUUUUGAUAUAUGGAACGUCAAAAUUGGAGUUCGUAUGCGAAAGUUAUGGCUGUUUUACGAACGGACUCCGAAUUAGAGGGCAAAACAGUCCGGAAGUGGGAAAAAUUUGCGAUGGUGGCUAGAAAUAGAUGGAAAUAGUGGGAAAAAAUAGACAAACUGGACUGUAACAAGACCUAACCAGUAACAAGACCUUGACCAGGACACAAACUCAACACUACGGACUCUGAAACUGAAAUAUGCAAAGGCUAUGGCGCGGAUGGGUUGUAGGACAUGAAAACAAUAUGGCACUAGACUUAUGCGACGAACACAAGGACACUUGAAACUAAGGGUAGAUGUGAACCUAACGAUAUGUCUGAAGCUUCGAAUACCACUUCAGGAGAACAAGUGUGGCCCGAUCUUCCGAAACUUUCUGGUAACUAUCGAUUUGGUGGAAACGAGAGACAUAUCAAUCCAGCUUGCGAACAACACAAUUCGAAACCCUGCAAUUCUUUUUAUUUUUUUUUAUAUUUUUCUUUUACUAAGGAGCACUCAAGAAAUAACCACAGGAAAUUUAAGCUUAAACAAGUGAAAGACGUGGCCUGUGGAAUUUUUUGAAGAUUGUGAAAAAUAUGAAAAAAAUUUAGGAGGUGAAAACUCAAACUUCAGAGGCGAAUUUGGGGAUUCUAAAAUUGUCGAACCCGCCGUUGCCGGGAUAGACAGAUCCAAAAAAAUUUUCUGAUCGAUUUUGAUAUAUGGAACGUCAAAAUUGAAGUUCGUAUGCGAAAGUUAUGGCUGUUUUACGAACGGACUCCGAAUUAGAGGACAAAACGGUCCGGAAGUGGGAAAAAUUUGCGAUGGUGGCUAGAAAUUGAUGGAUAUAGUGGGAAAAAACAGACAAACUCGACUGUAACAAGACCUAACCAGUAACAAGACCUCGACCAGGACACAAACUCAACACUACGGACUCUGAAACUGAAAUAUGCAAAGGCUAUGGCGCGGAUGGGUUGUAGGACAUGAAAACAAUAUGGCACUAGACUUAUGCGACGAACAAGGACACUUGAAACUAAGGGUAGAUGUGAACCUAACGGCAUGUCUGAAGCAUUGAUUACCACUUGAGAAGAACAAGUGUGGCCCGAUCUUCCGAAAGUUUCUGGUAACUAUCGAUUUGGUGGAAACGAGAGACAUAUCAAUCCAGUUUGCGAACAACACAAUUCGAAACCCUACAAUUCUUUUUUUUGAUAUUUUUGUUUUACUUAGGAGCACUCAAGAAGUAACCACAGGAAAUUUGAGCUUAAACAAGUGAAUUACGUGGCCUGUGGAAUUUUAUGAAGAUUGUGAAAAAUAUGAAAAAAAAAUUUAGGAGGUGAAAACUCAAACUUCAGAGGCGAAUUUGGGGAUCCUAUAAUUGUCAAACCCGCCGUUGGCGGGGAUAGACAGAUCCAAAAAUUGUUUCUGAUCGAUUUGAUUUUGAUAUAUAGAACAUCAAAAUUGGAGUUCGUAUGCGAAAGUUAUGGCUGUUUUACGAACGGACUCUGAAUUAGAGGACAAAACGGUCCGGAAGUGGGAAAAAAUUGCGGUGGUGGCUAGAAAUUGAUGGAAACAGUGGGAAAAAACACACAAACUGGAAUGUAACAAGACCUAACCAGUAACAAGACCUCGACCAGGACACAAACUCAACACUAGGGACUCUGAAACUGAAAUAUGCAAAGGCUAUGGCGCGGAUGGGUUGUAGGACAUGAAAAUAAUAUGGCAAUAAACUUAUGGGACGAACACAAGGACACUUCAAACUAAGGGUAGAUGCGAACCUAACGAUAUGUCUGAAGCUUUGAUUACCACUUCAGGAGAACAAGUGUGGCCCGAUCUUCCGAAACUUUCUGGUAACUAUCGAUUUGGUGGAAACGAGAGACAUAUCAAUCCAGCUUGCGAACAACACAAUUCGAAACCCUACAAUUCUUUUUAUUUUUUUGUAUAUUUUUCUUUUACUAAGGAGCACUCAAGAAAUAACCACAGGAAAUUUAAGCUUAAACAAGUGAAAGACGUGGCCUGUUGAAUUUUUUGAAGAUUGUGAAAAAUAUGAAAAAAAUUUAGGAGGUGAAAACUCAAACUUCAGAGGCGAAUUUGGGGAUUCUAAAAUUGUCGAACCCGCCGUUGGCGGGAUAGACAGAUCCAAAAAAAUUUUCUAAUCGAUUUUGAUAUAUGGAACGUCAAAAUUGGAGUUCGUAUGCGAAAGUUAUGGCUGUUUUACGAACCGACUCCGAAUUAGAGGACAAAACGGUCUGGAAGUGGGAAAAAUUUGCGAUGGUGGCUAGAAAUUGAUGGAAAUAGUGGGAAAAAACACACAAACUGGACUGUAACAAGACCUAACCAGUAACAAGACCUCGACCAGGACACAAACUCAACACUACGGACUCUGAAACUGAAAUAUGCAAAGGCUAUGGCGCGGAUGGAUUGUAGGACAUGAAAACAAUAUGGCGCUAGACUUAUGGGACGAACACAAGGACACUUCAAACUAAGGGUAGAUGUGAACCUAACGGCAUGUCUGAAGCAUUGAUUACCACUUGAGGAGAACAAGUGUGGCCCGAUCUUCCGAAACUUUCUGGUAACUAUCGAUUUGGUGGAAACGAGAGACAUAUCAAUCCAGCUUGCGAACAAC
Molecule: long non-coding RNA, 4673 nt
Filed under: Sorghum bicolor (sorghum)
Lineage: Eukaryota; Viridiplantae; Streptophyta; Magnoliopsida; Poales; Poaceae
Description: long non-coding RNA (SBIC_LNC010541)
Source: RNAcentral